RNAcentral lists this long non-coding RNA (393 nucleotides) under Phoenix dactylifera (date palm). RNAcentral's name for it is "long non-coding RNA (PDAC_LNC016702)". The record is from RNAcentral. Lineage: Eukaryota; Viridiplantae; Streptophyta; Magnoliopsida; Arecales; Arecaceae.
CAACUUCGGUGAAUUAUUUAGGGGGUCAAACGACCUUCGAUAGCAAUGCAUGUUACCUCUUUAGAAUCUCCUAUGAGUGUAGAAUGUUAGGUAAAAAUUUCAUCAAAUUUGGAGUCCUGAAAGUGGAUCAAACUCGGGAUGAAGUAACCGGCUGUCGGUCCGGAUUACUAUUCAUCCGGGUGAAAAAUGGGGGAUUUCAUGCUAUAAUAGGGUAUUAAGCCCAGAUUAAGCUAAGGGGACCUUGUACUCAUGCAAGGGAGUCCCUAAUACACAUAAAUGGUGAGUUAAUUAAUAGAAAGAGAAAAAAAGAAAGAAAAGAAAAGAUUUAGGAAACGGGGGAGUUGAAUCAAUUAAAGUCCCCUAUAUUAUAAUUGGCACGUAGAUUAUAGCCCU